Hydra vulgaris (swiftwater hydra) is the source of this 451-nucleotide non-coding RNA. NCBI's taxonomy places the organism in Eukaryota, Metazoa, Cnidaria, Hydrozoa, Anthoathecata, Hydridae. The record is from RefSeq and is a predicted model, not a curated record.
CCAGGUUGUGUAUUUUUGCAGGUCAAUUAUUUGGCACAAUUUGGAGUUAAAGACAAAGGAGAUUGUAUAUGUAAUUUACUAAGAAUUGUUUUUUAAAAUGGCAUAGCUCUAAAAUUAAACUAUACAGGGAGAGGACAAAAUAUUGGAAUAGGAAAAAUGUUGAUUGGCAUAUGUUGCUAUUGAAACUGUGAAGUCAAAUAAGCAUGGCUUAUGCAGACAUGUGAUAGAGAUAGUGGAAGCAAAAAUAAUAAUAGUGGGUACCAAAUAUCAUAAACUAAAUACGAUUCAAUAACAAGUAGCUCAGCUGAUAUCGAUACUACUCUAUAAAUUUUAUAGUGAAUUUUUUUAUUUGAAACUCAAUGAGUCAGUUUUCGGUUUAAGUUUGGUGUUUGCAAUGUGUAUAUUUAACCGAGAAAUUAAGUUAAAUAAAUAAAUUUUUAUACUUGUAUCA